UAAAAAUCAAAAUAUGUUAAUAUUGAAAGGAAUCUGCUAAUUUAUUCCUGAGCUGGAGAGAGAGGAUUGAGCUCGUGGAGGCCACUGUGUUACCCAUUUUAAUAUCCAGCCAGUAGAGGCUGUGUAACCUCUAAAGGACAGAGAAGGGAAUUGACUCUGCCAUCCAUGAGCCAAGAAAGUUUCAUGAGAUGUGCCCAGAAUGGCUGGGGAGAGGAGUGCCCAUUUUCUACCAGUGGCAGCAACCCCGUCAUGUUUUUCUAGUGGAAGCUACGUUUAUCAAGUAGAAUUCAGGAGAUAGAACUGGCAUCAUGUAACCAGGCACCUCUCUCCAUGGAUCACUAUCAACUGGUCUGCAGUUCACAGAGCACUGGACUGGGACUCAGGUGACCCC
Mauremys reevesii (Reeves's turtle) is the source of this 391-nucleotide long non-coding RNA. RefSeq lists it as uncharacterized. The transcript has 3 exons. The record is from RefSeq and is a predicted model, not a curated record. NCBI's taxonomy places the organism in Eukaryota, Metazoa, Chordata, Testudines, Geoemydidae.